RNAcentral lists this ribosomal RNA (563 nucleotides) under uncultured bacterium. Its description in RNAcentral is "partial 16S ribosomal RNA". It matches the Rfam family "Bacterial small subunit ribosomal RNA", at positions 355 to 1376 of the family's 1533-position model. The record is from RNAcentral.
UGGGGAAUCUUGCACAAUGGGGGAAACCCUGAUGCAGCGACGCCGCGUGAGCGAUGAAGCCCUUCGGGGUGUAAAGCUCUUUCGGCAGGAACGAUAAUGACGGUACCUGCAGAAGAAGCUGCGGCUAACUACGUGCCAGCAGCCGCGGUAAUACGUAGGCAGCGAGCGUUGUUCGGAGUUACUGGGCGUAAAGAGUGCGUAGGUGGUUCUCUAAGUUCGGUGUGAAAUCUCCCGGCUCAACUGGGAGGGGUGCGCCGAAAAACUGGAGGGCUGGAGUGCGGGAGAGGAGAGCGGAAUUCCUGGUGUAGCGGUGAAAUGCGUAGAUAUCAGGAGGAACACCUGUGGUGCAGACGGCUCUCUGGACCGCUACUGACACUGAGGCGCGAAAGCGUGGGGAGCAAACAGGAUUAGAUACCCUGGUAGUCCACGCCCUAAACGAUGCAUACUUGGUGUGGGUCGUUCAGUUGAUCCGUGCCGGAGCUAACGCGUUAAGUAUGCCGCCUGGGGAGUACGGUCGCAAGGCUGAAACUCAAAUGAAUUGACGGGGUCAUAGCUGUUUCCUG